GAUGAAGAACGUAGCGAAAUGCGAUACUUGGUGUGAAUUGCAGAAUCCCGUGAACCAUCGAGUCUUUGAACGCAAGUUGCGCCCGAAGCCAUUAGGCCGAGGGCACGCCUGCCUGGGUGUCACACGUCGUUGCCCCCCCAUCUACUCCUUCGGGAUUGCGGGGGGCGGAUGAUGGCCUCCCGUGCGCCUCGUCGCGCGGUUGGCAUAAAUGCCAAGUCCUCGGCGACGCACGCCACGACAAUCGGUGGUUGCGAACCCUCGGUUGCCCGUCGUGUGCGGUCGUCGCGCAUCGAGGGCUCGAAAAAAUUGCCGGGCUCCGGCUCGGCUUUCAACGCGACCCCAGGUCAGGCGGGGUUACCCGCUGAAUUUAAGCAUAUCAAUAAGCGGAGGA
This 391-nucleotide unclassified non-coding RNA is filed under the name soil metagenome. RNAcentral's name for it is "partial contains 5.8S ribosomal RNA, internal transcribed spacer 2, and large subunit ribosomal RNA". The stretch from base 1 to 122 matches the Rfam family "5.8S ribosomal RNA", at positions 35 to 154 of the family's 154-position model. The record is from RNAcentral.